UACGGAGGAUGCAAGCGUUAUCCGGAAUUAUUGGGCGUAAAGCGUCCGCAGGUGGCACUUCAAGUCUGCUGUCAAAGACCGGGGCUUAACCCUGGAAAGGCAGUGGAAACUGAAGCGCUAGAGUGUGGCAGGGGUAGAGGGAAUUCCCGGUGUAGCGGUGAAAUGCGUAGAGAUCGGGAAGAACAUCGGUGGCGAAAGCGCUCUGCUGGACUGCAACUGACACUCAGGGACGAAAGCUAGGGGAGCGAAUGGG
This 253-nucleotide ribosomal RNA is filed under the name uncultured bacterium. Its description in RNAcentral is "partial 16S ribosomal RNA". It matches the Rfam family "Bacterial small subunit ribosomal RNA", at positions 524 to 776 of the family's 1533-position model. The record is from RNAcentral.